UGCAGCAGAAGCAACGCACCAGAGAGGAGAAAAGAAGGGCACGAACCCCUGUGUCAACUCCCAAAAGCCGUAACUUCUCCGUCCGACCUCCGAUCGCUGCACCGUUUGUGGUCACGCGUCCACCGCGUCGAGCUCUACAUUUCUACCGGAACAAUUUCUUUGGAUCCAAUUAACUUGAAGAAAACGUUUACUCUUGCUUAUGUGAAACUUGGGUAAGGUUGAAAAUAAAUAAUUGGAGCCCGAAAUUGUGAAUACUGGAACUUGAAGGAAGCAGAUUAGUUGAGGUUUUGAGGGCUAUGUUCUUUUAGAAAAAUUGUCUUGAAAUAAUACUUGGGAAUCGACUAAGAUGCAGGUCGAGAGGCGUCUCGUUAAGCGUCUGGACUCCUGAAGCGAAGUGGUUACUGGGUUAUGUUGUUGUAUAGUGGUAUAUAUAUGUACUUAGCUCUUUUUCUCCGCAUAACUUAUUCUUUUUGGUCUUCUUAGAGGUUUAUGGAGAGGCAGGAUUGUGUAUAUGUACUUUUGGGUUUUGGAUAUGUAUAUAUGUGUAUAUUCUCCGGCCAGUCUUGACUUCGCAGGCUGAGUCAGGAGCUCGUUAUUUUGUAUCAUUGACUCUCUGUUCCUGUUUUGGGUUACUUUACACUUGAUAGCUGUAGCUUUCUUAGGACGCAAGUUAACUCAUUUCUCGAGCGUUGCGCUUUUAUUUCGCGAUUUUUAUUUCCUCUAUUCU
Long non-coding RNA from Arachis ipaensis, 727 nucleotides. RefSeq lists it as uncharacterized. The record is from RefSeq and is a predicted model, not a curated record. Lineage: Eukaryota; Viridiplantae; Streptophyta; Magnoliopsida; Fabales; Fabaceae.